RNAcentral lists this ribosomal RNA (246 nucleotides) under uncultured bacterium. RNAcentral describes it as "partial small subunit ribosomal RNA". It matches the Rfam family "Bacterial small subunit ribosomal RNA", at positions 26 to 285 of the family's 1533-position model. The record is from RNAcentral.
AGAAUCAACGCUGGCGGCGUGCCUAACACAUGCAAGUCGAACGAGAAAGUGGAGCAAUCCAUGAGUAAAGUGGCGCACGGGUGAGUAACACGUGACUAACCUACCCUUGAGUGGGGGAUAAACCUAGGGAAACCUGGGCUAAUACCGCAUAAUACCUUCGGGUCAAAGGAGCAAUUCGCUUAAGGAGGGGGUCGCGGCCGAUUAGUUAGUUGGCGGGGUAAUGGCCCACCAAGACGAUGAUCGGUA